UACAGGGGGGGCAAGCGUUGUUCGGAAUUACUGGGCGUAAAGGGCUCGUAGGCGGCCUGUUAAGUCGAACGUGAAAUCCCCGGGCUCAACCCGGGAACUGCGUCCGAUACUGGCAGGCUUGAAUCCGGGAGAGGGAUGCGGAAUUCCAGGUGUAGCGGUGAAAUGCGUAGAUAUCUGGAGGAACACCGGUGGCGAAGGCGGCAUCCUGGACCAACACUGACGCUGAGUGAGCGAAAGCCAGGGGAGCAAACGGG
This 254-nucleotide ribosomal RNA is filed under the name uncultured bacterium. RNAcentral's name for it is "partial 16S ribosomal RNA". It matches the Rfam family "Bacterial small subunit ribosomal RNA", at positions 524 to 776 of the family's 1533-position model. The record is from RNAcentral.